RNAcentral lists this ribosomal RNA (548 nucleotides) under uncultured bacterium. RNAcentral's name for it is "bacterial SSU rRNA". It matches the Rfam family "Bacterial small subunit ribosomal RNA", at positions 777 to 1322 of the family's 1533-position model. The record is from RNAcentral.
AAUAGAUACCCGGGUAGUCCACCCCGUAAACGUUGGGAACUAGUUGUGGGGUCCUUUCCACGGAUUCCGUGACGCAGCUAACGCAUUAAGUUCCCCGCCUGGGGAGUACGGCCGCAAGGCUAAAACUCAAAGGAAUUGACGGGGACCCGCACAAGCGGCGGAGCAUGCGGAUUAAUUCGAUGCAACGCGAAGAACCUUACCAAGGCUUGACAUACACCAGAACACCCUAGAAAUAGGGGACUCUUUGGACACUGGUGAACAGGUGGUGCAUGGUUGUCGUCAGCUCGUGUCGUGAGAUGUUGGGUUAAGUCCCGCAACGAGCGCAACCCUCGUUCUAUGUUGCCAGCACGUAAUGGUGGGAACUCAUGGGAUACGUGCCGGGGUCAACUCGGAGGAAGGUGGGGAUGACGUCAAAUCGAUCAUGCCCCUUAUGUCUUGGGCUUCACGCAUGCUACAAUGGCCGGUACAAAGGGCUGCAAUACCGUGAGGUGGAGCGAAUCCCAAAAGCCGGUCCCAGUUCGGAUUGAGGUCUGCAACUCGACCUCAUG